AGGCUGUCAGGUUUACCAUCUGUCAGGGAGGUAGAGUUGGAAUGAGAAUGGUAUCUGGACGCAGAACCAUUGUUUCCUUUCUUUCCUCUACAGAAUGGCACCUGCAGAGAGAGAGCUAAGAGUUAUCAGAAUAGUGAAAAAGAGGCUUGGUAGUUAAGGUUUUAUCUGACUUAGUACUUCACCCUGGUUUAUGCCCUGUUGGUGUGGGAAACGACGGAUGAAUCCUUAAGGUUUUAAUCUGAUAGAACAGUAAACCAGUGAGUUUAAGCUGGUAAGCAAGUACCAAGUUAUCCUUAGUUAGGAUUGAUGAUCUUUUAGCUGUUCUGAUAAGAGUUGAUUAUGGUUUUAGUGUAAUCCGAGUUUGGAGUAUCCCUUUUGCGAGUUAGGAAAA
This 391-nucleotide long non-coding RNA is filed under the name Manihot esculenta (cassava). Its description in RNAcentral is "long non-coding RNA (MESC_LNC007800)". Lineage: Eukaryota; Viridiplantae; Streptophyta; Magnoliopsida; Malpighiales; Euphorbiaceae. The record is from RNAcentral.